Molecule: ribosomal RNA, 497 nt
Filed under: uncultured bacterium
Lineage: Bacteria
Description: partial 16S ribosomal RNA
Rfam family: Bacterial small subunit ribosomal RNA
Source: RNAcentral
GAUGAACGCUGGCGGCGUGCCUAAUACAUGCAAGUCGAGCGAACAGACGAGUAGCUUUCUCCUUCGACGUUAGCGGCGGACGUGUUAGUAACACGUAUGUAACCUACCUAUAAGACUGGGAUAACUUCGUGAAACCGUACCUAAUACCGUAUAAUAUUUCGAACCGCAUGGUUCGAUAGUGAAAUAUGGCUUUGCUAUCACUUAUAGAUGGUCCUGCGCCGUAUUAGCUAGUUGGUAAGGUAACGGCUUACCAAGGCAACGAUACGUAGCAGACCUGAGAGGGUGAUCGGCCACACUGGAACUGAGACACGGUCCAGACUCCUACGGGAGGCAGCAGUAGGGAAUAUUACGCAAUGGGCGAAAGCCUGACGGAGCAAAGCCGCGUGAGUGAUGAAGGUCUUCGGAUCGUAAAACGCUGUUAUUAGGGAAGAAAAAACGUGUAAGUAACUGUGCACGUAAUGACGGUACCUAAUCAGAAAGCAACGGCUAACUACGUG